AUUUUUAACAUUUAUAUUAUCUUCACAUUCACAUAUUUGUGUAAGCUAUUGUCUGUUUUUUUAUGUAGAAUUCGUCAUUAAAUAAUUGCAUAUUGUCUCACCUUGACUAAUAAGUGUGAUUACUUGUGUAGUUAUUUGAUUACUUUGACAGGUUUCAAACUUGAAGUUCAAGUUGAAGAUUAAUUGAAGAAAGAUUUAUUUGUUUAUUUGAAUGUAUAUAUAUAUUUUAUUUUUGCCUAUUUUAUUUAUUUGAAUGUUGUAACAAUUGUAACUCUAAAAGAUCAUAUAUAUAAAUUUAUUUGGGGGGUCUUCUAGGGGAGGGGGAUUUAUAUGCUUACUUGUUCAUUAAAUUUUUUAGAAAUCAUGCCUAUAGGUUUGUCUUUAAUCGCCUAGAUUUAAUAUUUGUAGGUGUUAUAAUCUAAUCAAUUUUCAAUUUGCUUGACGCUUUUGUUAACAAGUCUUAAAAAAUAAUAACUAGAUUCCAUUAAUUUUUUAAAUGUUAAAAUCAAAUCCUAAUAAUCUAGUAGGUUGUUAGAUGUUAAAAAUAUAUUAUAAACUUUCAUUUGUCUUGUCACGUAGAAACUAUGCCUAAGCAUUAAAUUGUUCAUAUCAUUUACAAAAUCAUGCAUAUAUAUGUUACUCUGUUUUUUUUUAACACCUAGAAAUCAUGUCUAUAGGGUUGUAAAUAAACUUUUAGCAUAUCCUUAAAAAAUAAAAUUUGUUUGUGCAUAUUUGAGCCCUCUCCCUAAAAUUAGUUAAUAUUAUUUAAUUAGUAAUCCUAUUUGUUUUCCGCAUUCAUGAUGCAAUAUUUUUUUUAAUAAUACUAAAUUAGAACAUUUCGUGCAUUUAACAAAUUACUUGGCUUUAAAAAUAUUUCAUAUCAAAACCUUGUAACAUAAUUUUCUUAAAAAGUCAUUAUUCAAUCUUUCUUUAAAACUUUGGAUUGAUUUUGACAUUGUUUAUUUUGAAAAUAAAUUAUAAGCACUAUCUCCUAACCUAUCGUUAGUGGGAAAGUCAAAGGAACUACGAGGUCUAGUUCCAAUUUUUAAACCCGACGCGUCCCCGGAAGUACCAUCUACCCACUAAUUUCAAAAGGAAUUAUGUGUAUUUAUAUGUAAAUGUUUAUGUGCCUACAUGUAAACUAGAUCUUUUAAAUCAUUUUUUCAAAAAUAUGAACUAUUGUUUUUUUAAGACCGACCUCAAAUCAAAAUUGUUUCUA
RNAcentral lists this long non-coding RNA (1219 nucleotides) under Solanum lycopersicum (tomato). RNAcentral describes it as "partial TCONS_00150486". Lineage: Eukaryota; Viridiplantae; Streptophyta; Magnoliopsida; Solanales; Solanaceae. The record is from RNAcentral.